CCCCGCGCCCCCUAUAUAACUUUUGGCCAUUUGUGGACCAGACUCCUCAUUCAAUGGGUAUUUUUUAUUCCCUGUGCUCCAUCCAGUAAGUGUUCUUUUCCAACUUCAUUGACUGGAAAGUAGCACAGCGGCUGAGGAAUGAGGAAUCUUUUACAUCUCAUCCAUUUCUUUCUUUGGCGAAAUGCAAGACAGCAAAUGAAGAUGAGGAGAUUUCUGUAUCUGCCCACAUACCCUGAACCCGGUCAUUUGGCCGAUGUUCGGAUAACCUCACACAGCCGGUUUGACAAAUCAAUAGUAACAACUUGUGAAGGUAGUCCAACAGUUUCAUUCGGUCGUCAUUGGAAACUGGGUUCUCGGUUUAAUUUCUCAAGUUAUACAUUAUGCAAGGUAGAUACACAUGACCCCCUCUAUUCUUUGUAUUAAAGGCAUGGCUAGUGGUAAAAAUAGCAUCUGUUAAAUUAUAUUUAUGAUAUUUUAAUAAGAUAUUAUGUCAUAUAUUGAAAUAUGAUGCUAUAUUUACGAUAUUAGUUCUAUAUUAUGUUACAUGGUAUUAGAAAUAUGCAAUACGAUGCUAUUUUAAAAUAUUACUUCUACGAUAUUAAGUUAAAUUAUAUUAGAAAUAUAGAAUACGAUGCUAUUUUAUUUUAGUUCUACGGUAUUAAGUUAAAUUAUAUUAGAAAUAUGGAAUACGAGGCUAUUUUAUUUUAGUUCUACGAUAUUAAGUUAAAUUAUAUUAUAAAUAAGGAAUACGAUGCUAUUUUAUGAUAUUCGUUCUACGAUAUAAUGUUCUAAGUAAGUAUAAAGCCAUGUCUCCUAUAUUGGUUCUACUAUAUUAUGUUAUAUCAGUGUUUCCCCUAUGUUCCCAACUAUGGGGGGGCGGACGUAUCGGAGGGGGGCGUGGGUGUUGGGGCGCGCCGGGGGGGAUACAAUGGUAGGGAAAACACUGUAUAUGAUAUUAUGUUAUAUAAUAUUAGAAAUACUAAGUAUGAUGCCAUGUUUAUAUUUUACUCCUACAUAAUGCUAUAUGAUAUUAGUCCUAUAUUAUCUUGUUAUUAUCUGUGAUAUUACAAAUACGAAGUAUGAUAAUAUGUUGUAUAUAUUGGCAUGACAUCACUGUAAUAUUGGCAUGGCAUCAUUGAAACUAUAGAGGGGGACAUGUGUGUCUACCUUUCCUAAUGCAUAACUUGAAAAAUCUAACCGAGAUCCCAAUUUCCAACGACGGACGAAUGAAACUAUCGGUCUACUGUCACAAUUUGUCACUGUUGAUUCGUCAACCCAGCCGUGGUAGUUCAUCCAAACACCGGCCAAAUGACCAGGUUCAGGGAUGUGCGCAGAUACAGAAACCCCCUCAUCUUCAUCUGCAGCCUUGCAUUAGCCAAAGAAGGAAAUGGAUGAGAUGAAAAAGAUUCCUCAUUCCUCAGAGGCCCUGCCGUGCUACUGUCCAGUCCAUGAAGUUGGAAAAAAAACACUUCCUAGAGCACAGGGUAUGAUACUCACCAAUGAAUGAGGAGCCGGUCCAUGCCAUGGGGGGGGGGGUAUUUAGCGCUGUGUUGGGUGCGGCGCCGGUGGCCGGGCGGAAAAUGGGGGGGGCAGUUUGCAUUGUUUUUUCUUUUUUUUUAAUGGGGGAAAAUGGUUAGCCCUCAUUAAAAAUGCCCCCCCUCAUUAUAUAGCCCCCCACAUAUUUAGCGCUGGUGGAAGGGGUGGGGGCAGGGGGGGUAUUUAGCUGUGAUGGGGGCCGUGGCGGUGGGGGCGCGGGGGUUCUUGAGCGCUGUGAAGCGCGGGUGGAAGGGGAGCGGGGGGUAGAUGGAUGAGGUGGGACGGAGUGGGAGGUGAAGGAAGGUGUUCUUACUUGUGUCCAGUCUCAGGCACGUUGAUGUUGACGUCCUGGAUGGUCUCCUUUUUCUUCUUUUCUCUCUCCUAUUUCUUUGUCUCCUUGUCCUGCAUCUUGCGCCUCAUUUUGUCCAUCUCCGUCUGCCGGUCCGUUUUUUUAAGUACAGGCAGAUGUUUUCAAGGACUGUUUUGUCGUCCUCUAAUUCUUGGAUCCUGGUGAUAAGGAUCUGAUGUUCUUUGGGAAUGGUAUCCUCCGUUUGUUGGAUCUUAGAGAUCAGGCACAACUCAGUGCUAGUGACCAUCUCGUGGUGGGUCUCCUCUUGGCUCUUUUUUAAAGCAGCCAGAGAAUCCCUCUGGGUCUUCAGCAGUUUGUUUUCUGCUUCCAACUGCUGCCAGGUCUCGUUGUUCACCCUGAGUUCAGCACUUUUGACAGAAAGUUGUUUUGUGGUCUCGGUGAGCUUCAGAGAUAAACCCUCGUUCUCCCUGAUAGUCUCAUCCAGAGCCUCUGUCUUGAUCUUUAGCAGUUUGUUUUCUUCUACCAACUGGUGGUUGUUGGCCUGCUGCUUGUGCAGCUCCUCUUGAAGAGAAAUAUUGGUGGAGAGUAACCCUGUUACUUACUGGACUGUUGUUGGUAAUACAGUUCCUUGAAUGUCUUUUCCUCCAACUUCUGCUGCCAGGUCCCUUUGUUGACUGUGAGUUCAGCACUUUUGACGAAGAGUUGUUUGCCGUACUCAAAGAGCUUCAGAAACAAACUUUUCCCCGAUAACCUCAGCCAGAGCCUCUGUCUUGCUCUUUAGCAGUUUGUGUUCUGCUUUCAACCGUUGGUUGUUGGCCUGCUGCUGGACCGUGGGUUCAGCAUUUUUGACAACGAGUUGUUCGGUGGUCUCUGUGGAGCUUCAGAGACAAACCCUUGUUCUCCCUGACGAGGUCUGAAAACUUAUUUCUGUUCUUGUCUGCUCAUAGGCAAGAUCUUUGCCUUUUAACAGGUUGGUCAAACUGUACCUCCCAGUUUCAGUGUGAGCACUGAGUUCGCUCACCUUCCUUUUCAGGUAGUGCACUUCAUCCCGGGCACGAGAAAGGGCCAUGUUCACCUUGUAUCCGUUGGGAGGAGUCCCGAGAAAAAGGGGAAAGGGGAAAAGGCUGGUGGGAUGCCUGUAAAUAGGCUGGAAGCCUUGAAAAAGGCUGUUUGUUUGUUUGCCGUUAACGACUCCAUGUGGUCUUUGAAGAAUGGUGAUAUAUCCAUCGAAAGGCUACUUAAUUAAGUCUUGUUAAGGACAAACGUCGCUGAUUAAUUCUCUCACACAAAAAUAUGCAGUGCUCUGUCCUGUGUUUAGAAUAGCAAUGAACAGAUGCAUCUAAUUCUUUCUGGAACUUGGCCUUGAAGAUUCCAUUCCAUUUCAUUCCAUUCCGUUCCGUUCCGUUCCAUUCCAUUCCGUUGUCAUAGAGUGGAGAGUGUCAUAGAGUGGACUCCAAGACAACGGAAUAGAAAAUAC
Long non-coding RNA from Gasterosteus aculeatus aculeatus (three-spined stickleback), 3323 nucleotides. The record is from Ensembl. NCBI's taxonomy places the organism in Eukaryota, Metazoa, Chordata, Actinopteri, Perciformes, Gasterosteidae.